GAUGAACGCUGGCGGCGUGCCUAAUACAUGCAAGUCGAGCGAACAGACGAGGAGCUUGCUCCUCUGACGUUAGCGGCGGACGGGUGAGUAACACGUGGAUACCCUACCUAUAAGACUGGGAUAACUUCGGGAAACCGGAGCUAAUACCGGAUAAUAUAUUGAACCGCAUGGUUCAAUAGUGAAAGACGGUUUUGCUGUCACUUAUAGCUGGAUCCGCGCCGCAUUAGCUAGUUGGUAAGGUAACGGCUUUCCAAGGCAACGAUGCGUAGCCGACCUGAGAGGGUGAUCGGCCACACUGGAACUGAGACACGGUCCAGACUCCUACGGGAGGCAGCAGUAGGGAAUCUUCCGCAAUGGGCGAAAGCCUGACGGAGCAACGCCGCGUGAGUGAUGAAGGUCUUCGGAUCGUAAAACUCUGUUAUUAGGGAAGAACAAAUGUGUAAGUAACUAUGCACGUCUUGACGGUACCUAAUCAGAAAGCCACGGCUAACUACGUG
RNAcentral lists this ribosomal RNA (497 nucleotides) under uncultured bacterium. RNAcentral's name for it is "partial 16S ribosomal RNA". It matches the Rfam family "Bacterial small subunit ribosomal RNA", at positions 28 to 507 of the family's 1533-position model. The record is from RNAcentral.